UACGUAGGGGGCUAGCGUUGUCCGGAAUCAUUGGGCGUAAAGAGCGUGUAGGCUGCUCGGUAAGUCCGCUGUAAAAGUCAAAGGCUCAACCUUUGAAUGUCAGUGGAUACUGCCGGGCUAGAGUCCGGAAGAGGCGAGUGGAACUCCUGGUGUAGCGGUGGAAUGCGCAGAGAUCGGGAGGAACACCAGAGGCGAAGGCGGCGACCUGGACAGGUACUGACACUCAACUACGAAAGCGUGGGGAGCAAACAGG
RNAcentral lists this ribosomal RNA (253 nucleotides) under uncultured bacterium. RNAcentral describes it as "partial 16S ribosomal RNA". It matches the Rfam family "Bacterial small subunit ribosomal RNA", at positions 524 to 776 of the family's 1533-position model. The record is from RNAcentral.